Molecule: ribosomal RNA, 916 nt
Filed under: uncultured bacterium
Lineage: Bacteria
Description: bacterial SSU rRNA
Rfam family: Bacterial small subunit ribosomal RNA
Source: RNAcentral
UUGUUGGUAAGGUAAAGGCUUACCAAGGCUUCGAUCAGUAGCUGGUCUGAGAGGACGGCCAGCCACACUGGGACUGAGACACGGCCCAGACUCCUACGGGAGGCAGCAGUGGGGAAUUUUGGACAAUGGGGGAAACCCUGAUCCAGCCAUGCCGCGUGAGUGAAGAAGGCCUUCGGGUUGUAAAGCUCUUUCAGCCGGAACGAAACGGUUACGGAUAAUACUCGUGACUACUGACGGUACCGGAAGAAGAAGCACCGGCUAACUACGUGCCAGCAGCCGCGGUAAUACGUAGGGUGCGAGCGUUAAUCGGAAUUACUGGGCGUAAAGCGUGCGCAGGUGGUUUUGUAAGUCAGAUGUGAAAGCCCCGGGCUCAACCUGGGAACUGCGUUUGAAACUACAAGACUAGAGUGUGGCAGAGGGGGGUGGAAUUCCGCGUGUAGCAGUGAAAUGCGUAGAGAUGUGGAGGAACACCGAUGGCGAAGGCAGCCCCCUGGGUUAACACUGACACUCAGGCACGAAAGCAUGGGGAGCAAACAGGAUUAGAUACCCUGGUAGUCCAUGCCCUAAACGAUGUCAACUAGUUGUCGGGCCUUUACGGGCUUGGUAACGUAGCUAACGCGUGAAGUUGACCGCCUGGGGAGUACGAUCGCAAGAUUAAAACUCAAAUGAAUUGACGGGGACCCGCACAAGCGGUGGAUUAUGUGGAUUAAUUCGAUGCAACGCGAAAAACCUUACCUACCCUUGACAUGUAUCGAAGCCCGCAGAAAAGCGGGGGUGCCCGAAAGGGAACGAUAACACAGGUGCUGCAUGGCUGUCGUCAGCUCGUGUCGUGAGAUGUUGGGUUAAGUCCCGCAACGAGCGCAACCCUUGUCAUUAAUUGCCAUCAUUUAGUUGGGCACUUUAAUGAGACUGCCGG